GAUGAACGCUGGCGGCGUGCCUAAUACAUGCAAGUCGAGCGAACAGAUGAGGAGCUUGCUCCUCUGACGUUAGCGGCGGACGGGAGAGUAACACGUGGAUAACCUACCUAUAAGACUGGGAUAACUUCGGGAAACCGGAGCUAAUACCGGAUAAUAUAUUGAACCGCAUGGUUCAAUAGUGAAAGACGGUUUUGCUGUCACUUAUAGAUGGAUCCGCGCCGCAUUAGCUAGUUGGUAAGGUAACGGCUUACCAAGGCAACGAUGCGUAGCCGACCUGAGAGGGUGAUCCGCCACACUGUAACUGAGACACGGUCCAGACUCCUACGGGAGGCAGCAGUAGGGAAUCUUCCGCAAUGGGCGAAAGCCUGACGGAGCAACGCCGCGUGAGUGAUGAAGGUCUUCGGAUCGUAAAACUCUGUUAUUAUGGAAGAACAAAUGUGUAAGUAACUAUGCACGUCUUGACGGUACCUAAUCAGAAAGCCACGGCUAACUACGUG
RNAcentral lists this ribosomal RNA (497 nucleotides) under uncultured bacterium. RNAcentral describes it as "partial 16S ribosomal RNA". It matches the Rfam family "Bacterial small subunit ribosomal RNA", at positions 28 to 507 of the family's 1533-position model. The record is from RNAcentral.